This 497-nucleotide ribosomal RNA is filed under the name uncultured bacterium. RNAcentral describes it as "partial 16S ribosomal RNA". It matches the Rfam family "Bacterial small subunit ribosomal RNA", at positions 28 to 507 of the family's 1533-position model. The record is from RNAcentral.
GAUGAACGCUGGCGGCGUGCCUAAUACAUGCAAGUCGAGCGAACAGACGAGGAGCUUGCUCCUCUGACGUUAGCGGCGGACGGGUGAGUAACACGUGGAUAACCUACCUAUAAGACUGGGAUAACUUCGGGAAACCGGAGCUAAUACCGGAUAAUAUAUUGAACCGCAUGGUGCAAUAGUGAAAGACGGUUUUGCUGUCACUUAUAGAUGGAUCCGCGCCGCAUUAGCUAGUUGGUAAGGUAACGGCUUACCAAGGCAACGAUGCGUAGCCGACCUGAGGGGGUGAUCGGCCACACUGGAGCUUGGACACGGUCCAGACUCCUACGGGAGGCAGCAGUCGGGAAUCUUCCGCAAUGGGCGAAAGCCUGACGGAGCAGCGCCGCGUGAGUGAUGAAGGUCUUCGGAUCGUAAUACUCUGUUAUUAGGGAAGAACAAAUGUGUAAGUAACUAUGCACGUCUUGACGGUACCUAAUCAGAAAGCCACGGCUAACUACGUG